Non-coding RNA from Paragonimus heterotremus, 81 nucleotides. NCBI's taxonomy places the organism in Eukaryota, Metazoa, Platyhelminthes, Trematoda, Plagiorchiida, Troglotrematidae. The record is from the annotation of a GenBank genome assembly.
GGCUUUGUAGUUCAGCGGGCAGACCGCUUGUUGAGUUUGGGUAUGGUGUUUCAGUCGCUGGUUCGAAUCCAGCCGAAGCCC